Molecule: small nucleolar RNA, 95 nt
Organism: Cajanus cajan (pigeon pea)
Lineage: Eukaryota; Viridiplantae; Streptophyta; Magnoliopsida; Fabales; Fabaceae
Source: Rfam
AAUGGGCAUGUGAUGAAUCUCAUAGUAACAAAUGGGUAAUUUGCGUCUGAAUAAAUUCAUUGAUGAUAUAUCACCUUGGAGAACUGAUGCCCUUA